AAGAAAAGAUUGGUCUCAGACAACUAAAAUAUUUAGUUUUAGAUGUAGCUGAUUACAUACUGGAUACGGGUUUUGGGUCAGAAAUGAAGCUAAUUUCCCGCCUAGUAAUGCCAUCAAUGGAAAAGUAUAACAUCCUUAUGUCCAGUUCUACUUUUCUAAAGGAAAUUCAAAGUUUGUCUGAGAAAUUAAUAAAGUUGGACUAUUUGUUUGCUGCUGUUAGAUGAGGUUGGGUGCUCAACAGCAUGCUCCUUCAUGGUUGAAAGAAACUGCUGAUAGUACAUAUGUUCCUGGCUUCAGUAGUGGUACAGGAGGGACGUCAACUGAUGUGUUUGCAUCGGUCGAUACUGGGAAAAAUUUCCAGACAAGAACAUUUUGAACAUAGUAGGGCUUUCUUUUUCACACACUCCCAGUUCAGUUGAUGAUGAGUCUU
Molecule: long non-coding RNA, 430 nt
Filed under: Homo sapiens (human)
Lineage: Eukaryota; Metazoa; Chordata; Mammalia; Primates; Hominidae
Description: non-protein coding lnc-SLC25A46-2:1
Source: RNAcentral